GACGAACGCUGGCGGCGUGCUUAACACAUGCAAGUCGAACGGAAAGGCCCUGCUUUUGUGGGGUUCUCGAGUGGCGAACGUGUGAGUAACACGUGAGUAACCUGCCCUUUACUUUGGGAUAACUUCAGGAAACUGGGGCUAAUACCGGAUAGGAGCUCCUGCUGCAUGGUGGGGGUUGGAAAGUUUCGGCGGUUGGGGAUGGACUCGCGGCUUAUCAGCUUGUUGGUGGGGUAGUGGCUUACCAAGGCUUUGACGGGUAGCCGGCAUGAGAGGGUGACCGGCCACAUUGGGACUGAGAUACGGCCCAGACUCCUACGGGAGGCAGCAGUGGGGAAUAUUGCACAAUGGGCGGAAGCCUGAUGCAGAAACGCCGCGUGCGGGAUGACGGCCUUCGGGUUGUAAACCGCUUUCGCAUGUGACGAAGCGUGAGUGACGGUAAUGGGUAAAGAAGCACCGGCUAACUACGUG
Molecule: ribosomal RNA, 468 nt
Filed under: uncultured bacterium
Lineage: Bacteria
Description: partial 16S ribosomal RNA
Rfam family: Bacterial small subunit ribosomal RNA
Source: RNAcentral